UACGUAGGGUCCGAGCGUUAUCCGGUAUUAUUGGGCGUAAAGAGUGCGUAGGCGGUUUGGUAAGACACUGGUUAAAGCUCCGGGCCUAACCCGGAAAUCGCCCGUGUGACUAUCAGACUAGUCGGUAGCAGGGGCAAGCGGAAUUGUCGGUGUAGGAGUGAAAUCCAUUGAGAUCGACAAGAACACCAAUGGCGAAGGCAGCUUGCUAGGCUAUUUGAGACGCUGAGGCACGAAAGCGUGGGGAGCGAACGGG
RNAcentral lists this ribosomal RNA (253 nucleotides) under uncultured bacterium. RNAcentral describes it as "partial 16S ribosomal RNA". It matches the Rfam family "Bacterial small subunit ribosomal RNA", at positions 524 to 776 of the family's 1533-position model. The record is from RNAcentral.